GGGGCUCUAGCUCAGUUGGUAGAGUGCUUGCCUGGCAUGCACCAGGCCCUGGGUUCAAUCCCCAGCACCA
This 70-nucleotide transfer RNA is filed under the name Ictidomys tridecemlineatus (thirteen-lined ground squirrel). Its description in RNAcentral is "Spermophilus tridecemlineatus (thirteen-lined ground squirrel) tRNA". It matches the Rfam family "tRNA". From Rfam's summary of the family: Transfer RNA (tRNA) molecules are approximately 80 nucleotides in length. Their secondary structure includes four short double-helical elements and three loops (D, anti-codon, and T loops). The record is from Rfam by way of RNAcentral. Lineage: Eukaryota; Metazoa; Chordata; Mammalia; Rodentia; Sciuridae.